This 296-nucleotide long non-coding RNA is filed under the name Hordeum vulgare. Its description in RNAcentral is "long non-coding RNA (HVUL_LNC019397)". Lineage: Eukaryota; Viridiplantae; Streptophyta; Magnoliopsida; Poales; Poaceae. The record is from RNAcentral.
AAGGAAAAAUAAAAUGCACACUUUCAUGCCUAUUAUUUAGGCACAAGGUGUAGCAAGAUAAUAACAAAAGGAAAAAAAUAAAAGAAGGAAGGAAAACAAAAGAGGCAGGCCUGGGAUUCGAACCCAGGGCCUCUGGUUCCAACCACAGAGCCUGAUCCACCACACUACAGUCCAUGCUAUCGACACAGAGAGGGGAUCGAGCAGGGUAAGGUGUCCCGUGUGGCUACAAUGUCGAAACAACUACAAAACCAAAAACGUGCCGAGGGGGGAUUCGAACCCGCAACCUCCUAACAGGC